RNAcentral lists this ribosomal RNA (450 nucleotides) under uncultured Glomeromycotina. RNAcentral's name for it is "SSU rRNA". It matches the Rfam family "Eukaryotic small subunit ribosomal RNA", at positions 569 to 1023 of the family's 1831-position model. The record is from RNAcentral. Lineage: Eukaryota; Fungi; Glomeromycota.
AGCAGCCGCGGUAAUUCCAGCUCCAAUAGCGUAUAUUAAAGUUGUUGCAGUUAAAAAGCUCGUAGUUGAAUUUCGGGGUUAGUAGGUUGGUCAUGCCUCUGGUAUGUACUGGUCUCACUGAUUCCUCCUUCCUGAUGAACCUUAAUGCCAUUUAUUUGGUGUUUUGGGGAAUUUGGACUGUUACUUUGAAAAAUUAGAGUGUUUAAAGCAAGCUAACGCUUGAAUACAUUAGCAUGGAAUAAUGAAAUAGGACGUUCGAUCCUAUUUUGUUGGUUUCUAGGAUUGACGUAAUGAUUAAUAGGGAUAGUUGGGGGCAUUAGUAUUCAAUUGUCAGAGGUGAAAUUCUUGGAUUUAUUGAAGACUAACUACUGCGAAAGCAUUUUGCCAAGGAUGUUUUCAUUAAUCAAGAACGAAAGUUAGGGGAUCGAAGACGAUCAGAUACCGUCGUAG